GACGAACGCUGGCGGCGUGCUUAACACAUGCAAGUCGAACGGAAAGGCCCUGCUUGCAGGGUACUCGAGUGGCGAACGGGUGAGUAACACGUGGGUGAUCUGCCCUGCACUUCGGGAUAAGCCUGGGAAACUGGGUCUAAUACCGGAUAGGAGCCAUUUUUAGUGUGAUGGUUGGAAAGUUUUUUCGGUGUAGGAUGAGCUCGCGGCCUAUCAGCUUGUUGGUGGGGUAAUGGCCUACCAAGGCGGCGACGGGUAGCCGGCCUGAGAGGGUGGACGGCCACAUUGGGGCUGAGAAACGGCCCAGACUCCUACGGGAGGCAGAAGUGGGGAAUAUUGCACAAUGGGCGCAAGCCUGAUGCAGCGACGCCGCGUGGGGGAUGACGGCCUUCGGGUUGUAAACUCCUUUCGCUAGGGACGAAGCUUUUUGUGACGGUACCUAGAGAAGAAGCACCGGCUAACUACGUG
This 465-nucleotide ribosomal RNA is filed under the name uncultured bacterium. RNAcentral's name for it is "partial 16S ribosomal RNA". It matches the Rfam family "Bacterial small subunit ribosomal RNA", at positions 28 to 507 of the family's 1533-position model. The record is from RNAcentral.